UGAGGAAUAUUGGUCAAUGGACGAGAGUCUGAACCAGCCAAGUAGCGUGCAGGAUGACGGCCCUAUGGGUUGUAAACUGCUUUUGUUUGGGAAUAAUCGACAUUACGUGUAAUGUUUUGCAUGUACCAUUCGAAUAAGGACCGGCUAAUUCCGUGCCAGCAGCCGCGGUAAUACGGAAGGUCCAGGCGUUAUCCGGAUUUAUUGGGUUUAAAGGGAGUGUAGGCGGUUGGUUAUGCGUGUUGUGAAAUGUAGAUGCUCAACAUCUGACUUGCAGCGCGAGCUGGCUGACUUGAGUACACACAACGUAGGCGGAAUUCAUGGUGUAGCGAUGAAAUGCUUAGAUAUCAUGGAGAACUCCGAUUGCGAAAGCAGCUUACGCGAGUGUUACUCACGCUUAAGCUCGAAGGUGCGGGUAUCGAACAGG
This 424-nucleotide ribosomal RNA is filed under the name Verrucomicrobiota bacterium. RNAcentral's name for it is "Verrucomicrobia bacterium partial 16S ribosomal RNA". It matches the Rfam family "Bacterial small subunit ribosomal RNA", at positions 355 to 776 of the family's 1533-position model. The record is from RNAcentral. Lineage: Bacteria; Pseudomonadati; Verrucomicrobiota.